Molecule: ribosomal RNA, 294 nt
Filed under: uncultured bacterium
Lineage: Bacteria
Description: partial 16S ribosomal RNA
Rfam family: Archaeal small subunit ribosomal RNA
Source: RNAcentral
GUGCCGAGCCGCCGCGGUAAUACCGGCAGCCCGAGUGAUGGCCGAUCUUAUUGGGCCUAAAGCGUCCGUAGCUUGCUGUGUAAGUCCAUUGGGAAAUCGACCAGCUCAACUGGUCGACGUCCGGUGGAAACUACACAGCUUGGGGCCGAGAGACUCAACGGGUACGUCCGGGGUAGGAGUGAAAUCCUGUAAUCCUGGACGGACCACCAAUGGGGAAACCACGUCGAGAGACCGGACCCGACAGUGAGGGACGAAAGCCAGGGUCUCGAACCGGAUUAGAAACCCUUGUAGUCC